Molecule: transfer RNA, 76 nt
Filed under: Anaeroplasma bactoclasticum
Lineage: Bacteria; Bacillati; Mycoplasmatota; Mollicutes; Anaeroplasmatales; Anaeroplasmataceae
Also listed under: 3 other names
Description: tRNA-His
Rfam family: tRNA
About the family: Transfer RNA (tRNA) molecules are approximately 80 nucleotides in length. Their secondary structure includes four short double-helical elements and three loops (D, anti-codon, and T loops).
Source: RNAcentral
GCGUAUAUGGUGAAGUGGUUAACACAGCGGAUUGUGGCUCCGCCAUGCGCAGGUUCGAUCCCUGUUAUACGCCCCA